AAGCUUGCACGAUCACCUCUCAAC
Molecule: microRNA, 24 nt
Filed under: Caenorhabditis briggsae
Lineage: Eukaryota; Metazoa; Nematoda; Chromadorea; Rhabditida; Rhabditidae
Description: Cbr-Mir-7593_5p* (star (passenger))
Source: RNAcentral